GCACACAUUAGUAAUUAAACAUAUUAUACUUCAUUGGAUCAAUCUGAUUACAUUUUUUUCUCCUUUACUAGACCAUAUAAGGACAAGAAUUAUACUUUAGGCAUCUGGGUUUCUUCAGUGUCUAGCACAAGGCCUAAAAGAUAGAAAAUUCUCACUUUGUUGAACUGAAUGGACUUGAAUUCCCAAAAAGAUUGAAAUCUGAAAGUAAUUACUCUCUGAAGCUAUGUCCCAGGAAGCUCUAAAAUAUUGAGAUUUUUUUUUUAUUUUAAAUGUAGAGGGAACUU
Molecule: long non-coding RNA, 284 nt
Filed under: Marmota monax (woodchuck)
Lineage: Eukaryota; Metazoa; Chordata; Mammalia; Rodentia; Sciuridae
Source: RNAcentral